UUGUGCCUAUAUUCUAUAGCCAUUUAUUUAUGUAUUCACUGAACAGAAAUAUUGGAUCCCUAUUGUAUAUAUGGAAAAGAAUAGCUGUCAGCAAUAGAAUAAGUGAGAGGUAGUCCCUGCCUGAGAGUUUGCAGUCCCUUACCUGAGAUAAACACAUAUACACAAACAUUUAUGGUAAAAGUGUAUUCGGAUUAUAGAGGUUUGACUAAAACACUAAGCAUACAGAGAAGAAACAUUCAAAAUGCAUGCUAUUAAAACAAUACUAUUGCAAAAGUGGUCUGGGCAGUGAGAUGCAUGUUGUUUCUCUGGUGUGGCAUCAGCCAUCCAGAUAUUGAGGGAAAUCCCAAGAGUUUCUUUAAUCCAGUAAAGGGAAACCAAAGUGUUGUUUUCUUUGCAGCAUGGUCACUGUCAGAGAGUUUUAUAGUCUUACUGCUGAGAAUCCCCAGGCUGUUCCUAUCUCUCAUGCAGAAAUUAAGCUCACUUUAUCUUAGAAUCAUAAUGGACUUCAUGGUCCCAAGCAAAGCCAGUUGAUUCUGCAUUUGACUCAUUAGGGGAUCAGGGAUUUCUUUUGGAGAUGGAGAUCCAAGCAGAGAAUGUCUCUUCUCUCCCACACUCCACCUUUUGUUCAUCCUCAGGAUUUACAUGCAAGCUCUGCCUACCCUUAGAAGUUGGAGAAGUUUGACCUGCAGGGACAUCAUUCAAGAAAAAAGCUGGAGUCCAGCAGUGGGACUUUAUAAAAGAACUGCUGCUCCCUGUUCAGAGCCCUCCAUUAGCUCCAUCUGUUUCAAGAGAUUCUACUCAUAUCUUCAGGAAGAAUCAACCUGUCUGCAGUUAAUGGUAACCAUGAAAAGGAAUGUAAUCAUGUCAUAUUCAAUGAAUGAUUUUGUGGCUAUGUUUCAUUUAUCAUCCUCACUGAAGCAUUAUAUGAAUAUGCAUAAUCUUGCUUUCUUUACUGAACUUUUACAUUGUAAUUUCACAAGUAAAUGAAAAAUGCUGUAUUUAGAUGGUUGGCUGGAUUCCCAGUCAUGAUUUUUUUCUUUUGUUUUUCUGAAAUUCAAGGACAUUAUAGAUUGAUUUAUUUUUUCUAUGUGUGCUCUGCCUUUUAUAGUUAAUUUAGCAUGUGUCAUUUCUAAUGUCUUUAGUGAAAAAUAGAAUAAUGGAGUAGUAACCUCACUUCUCUUGCUUUGACUUUUCUAAUCUAGAGAAUCCUUCAUAUAUUACUAUAUCAAUAAAAUUGUUUGAUUUUUUUUUGUUAUUAGUUGC
Molecule: long non-coding RNA, 1263 nt
Filed under: Vulpes vulpes (red fox)
Lineage: Eukaryota; Metazoa; Chordata; Mammalia; Carnivora; Canidae
Description: lncRNA (ENSVVUG00000007651.1)
Source: RNAcentral